Molecule: non-coding RNA, 1541 nt
Organism: Coturnix japonica (Japanese quail)
Lineage: Eukaryota; Metazoa; Chordata; Aves; Galliformes; Phasianidae
Source: RefSeq, a predicted model, not a curated record
UCGCAGUGAGUCAUUUUUUAGGAGGAGAGAUCAUAUGCAUUGUUAAAAAUAAGCUUUUGAAAACAGCAGUUCUUUUAUGCCAACUGUGUCCUGUUUAGAUCAGCAGAUUAAACAAACCCAAAGCUGAAAUUCAGCGCAAGUUGAAGUUUCUCAGCAAAUCAAAAAUGAAAAGGGACAGCAUUUGUUUUGUAACUCCCUAGAAGGAGAGCGUAGCAAACAAAAGGCAAAGAGAUGACCAUCAAGUAUCUAUAUUGACUCAUCUUCAAAUGAGAAAAGAAGCCAAUUUCCAAACAGCAUGGACUUAAGGAAAAUAAAAGGCACAAACAUAAAUUAGCAGCGGCUAGAAUGUUCCUGAGAAGCAUGAGACUAACUGACCAAAAGAAAACUUCCAACCUUCAUACUAUGUAGUGUUGAUGAAGAACACAGGGCUGAUGAAAAUGCAGCUGACUAAGAACUAGGACUACUCUCUAGAGACCUUUCCUAAAAAUGCUAUCAUCAGUAAUAACUCCCUGCUGAUAAGUUCUUUUGAGACCUCUGAGACAGCUCUUAAUCCAUUUAAGGAUGUACUUUACUGAUACUGCAUAUCCUUAUACUUUUAUCAACGUGUCAUAUAUAGCGAAUCAAAUGCUACGUAUUCCCUUCAACAAUAACUGUAAUAAAUGAAAGCCUGUUUUUCAUAAAAAUCUUACUAAGCUUAUUUAUAAAUGAUAUUAAUAUUGUGUAUUAAUUAUAAAUCUUCCAUUUUAUAUUUUGUCAAGAGAAUCCUUAUAAUUUCUCCACCAUUUUGCUAUGAACUGGUGUUACCUAGAGCAUUUCUUUUGACCUGCUCAUCCCUCUUGGCUUCUUGGAUAUUCACAAAAUACCAGUAUGGUUUUAAUCUUCAGAAUUAUCCAUAUGCAAAGAGUUACUCAGACCUGACAUUUGCAGGAGACAACCCUAAAAGUCACCGAUUUUAGCACUCUGGGGUGUGAGCUAUCUCGGCUUGUCAGCAGGAAAUUUUCUCCAGCUAAUAUGUCAUUUAAAAUCCACAUUAGCUACUAAUGGUGCAAUUCAUCUCACCUAAAUUCUUCUAAAAUUAGUUGUCUAAAUUACCUAGGAUGCCCUCAAUAGAGAAAGAAAGAUUAGAUCCUACACAGACCUAAUUGAUUCCAUCUAUCCUGAUAUAACUUGAAGAGAAUCAGAAAAAUUUAUAUAUAUAUCUGUAACGUAUUUAAAUAUAAAAAUAUUGAUAAUAAUAGGUGAAAAAACAUCACAUAGAUUCAUAUAUUGUAAAACUUUGUGUAAAGAGAAUUUUCAGGAACCCUAAAACAAAUAUGAGGGUGAGGCCAAACAAACACCAGUUUUGCUUUUAAGGACUAUUGUCUUCAUGUCUGCUAAAGAAAACUAAGUGUGUUCCAUGGGAGCUAGACAAAUGGUUGCAUAACUUAUUACACAUACAGAAUUAAACAAGUACAGACAUCUUACAGCCCAGAAGGCCAGCUGUAUCCUGGGUUGCAUCAAGAAGAGCAUGACCAGCAGGUCAAGGGAGGUGAUUCUGCUCU